AAAGCUCAAAUUUAAAAUCUGGCGGUCUUUGGCCGUCCGAGUUGUAAUCUAGAGAAGUAAUGCCCGUGCUGGACCGUGUAUAAGUCUCCUGGGAUGGGGCGUCAUAGAGGGUGAGAAUCCCGUCUUUGACACGGACUACCAGUGCAUUGUGGUAUGCUCUCAAAGAGUCGAGUUGUUUGGGAAUGCAGCUCAAAAUGGGUGGUAAAUUCCAUCUAAAGCUAAAUACAGGCGAAAGACCGAUAGCGAA
RNAcentral lists this ribosomal RNA (247 nucleotides) under Agaricus sp. RNAcentral's name for it is "partial 28S ribosomal RNA". It matches the Rfam family "Eukaryotic large subunit ribosomal RNA", at positions 104 to 344 of the family's 3401-position model. Lineage: Eukaryota; Fungi; Basidiomycota; Agaricomycetes; Agaricales; Agaricaceae. The record is from RNAcentral.